This 66-nucleotide transfer RNA is filed under the name Bundoksia longissima. Its description in RNAcentral is "tRNA-Gly". Lineage: Eukaryota; Metazoa; Arthropoda; Insecta; Blattodea; Blattidae. The record is from RNAcentral.
AUUUAUCUAAUAUAAAUUUAGUAUAUUUAACUUCCAAUUAAAAAGUUUGUAAAAACAAGAUAAAUA